CGCGGGCCCCCGCCGAUAGGAGAAGUCAGUGGACUCCCCCGGCCCCAAGGGACGAGGGCUCAGCAGGCCCAGUCGGGGCCUGGAGACCAGCGGCUGGGAGCAGGCCACCGCGGGCGUGCCAGGAGGUCCUGAGGGGCAGGCUUGAUAUGGCCUUUGUUUGCAGUGAGCUGCACCUGCUUGCUCCUUGCCGAAGCUCCAGGAAGCACGAAUGCUGGCCCUGAGGUGAGAUUCCUCCUCUGGCCCUCGGGGGCUGCUCUCCUCCUCCCUUUGCAUGCCUGCUUUGCACUCGGCAUUCACCUAGACUCUGGAAGUGUAAGUGAUCCCAAAGGUCAGGGAAUGUCCACCACCCCUCCAGCUGGAGGCUGCCCUCCACCCGCAGGCCCGCCACCUGGGAGGAGUGGUCCCCGAGGAGGAGGUGCCCUUGCGUCCAGCACUCUGCCCCUGAGAAUGGGCUCCUUCUCAUCCCUGUGAUUCCCUCUGUCACCGCUUGGCUGUAGUUCCGUGUCCUGACCUUUCUGAAGAGGAGGCCCGGCAGCCGUGCAGCAGCAAGAGGACAGCGAGCCUUGUUUCUUCGGCCCCAGUCUCCCUUUUCCUCCCAAUCCUCAUGUGGCCUGCUUCCAACAGGCAGACUCCACUGCUCCUCUUGCUCCCUGUCCCCUGGGCAGCUCCAGUUGGCUGCAUCCCUCUCAGUACGGCCUGGAUCACGUGCUCCAACCUGAGAACUGUACUUAUUUCUGCUUUGUCUUAGUGACGCUCCAAGUCCACAGGAGGAAGCUGCAUCACAAGGCACCUGCAGUCACCCACGAGCUACUUUGCCGCCACUGCUUAGGUGUGGUGCCUGCACACAGAGGGUGGCCCAGCCGAGUUGGAACCUUGGGAGUUUCCGUGAACUUCUGGCAACCUCCUCACUUGCAUUCAUAUCACAAGCCAGAAAAGCACCUUCAAUCGGGGGCGGGGCGAGGCUCAAUUCCAUGUUUCCAUCUUCUGAGUUUCAGUAACAUCUUCUUUACUGUCCUCAGUCUCUGAGCAAACAAGCAACGACCGCCGCGCCAGGCCCUCCACAGCUUGAGGGACGGCAUCCAAACGUCACACUGUGGCUGAGUGACAGUGUAUGGUCCAGCUUAUUUGUUUACGAGAUUCAGGUGUGGGGGAUCUGGAGCACGUGUUGCCAUCCCAUAGCUAUGGUGAUGGGGGCUUGAAUGGGUGGACUAAUGCACUCUGUUGCAGAAGACCCACUCGGCUAACUCCUGAGUAUCUGCAUGCUCGCUGUGGCAACUUUGGAAAGUACAGAAAGUAUACGAAGAAUCAGGACAAAGGUUGCUCAGGAGGCACUGCCCGGAGGCGUGAAUGCUCACAGUUUGGGUCUAUUUCCCCACUUCUGUUUUUGCUGAGGAAGAUUAGCAUUGAGCUAGCAACUGUGCCAAUCUCCCUCCAAUUUAUAUGUGGGUCGCUGCCAUAGCGUGGCUGGUGAGUGCCCCAGAAUCCAAACCUGUGCCCCUGGGCUGCCGAAGCCUAGGGCGCUGAACUUAACCACUAUGCCAUGGGGCUGACCCUCCCCCCAUUCUUUUUCCGUGUAGUUCCUCUUUACUCAGUCGAGCUCCUGCUGUGUGACCAUUCUGUCUUAUGUUUUUUCGUUUAACGUUAAGUGUUAUCCCAUGUUCUGAAAGAGUCCUCAGAAGACAUCUCACUCAGCUCUCCACCUUGUUGUGGAGUGUAUUGGAUUCCAGGCUCUCCCCACUCAAGCCCGACUGACAGAUGCUUGAGAAUGGCCCAGCACACCUUGGACCCAGUGACGUCCUCUGGUCAGAAACUCCAGCAUGGGGGUCCUCCUGAAGUGGACGCGGAGACCGAGUUUAUUGAGACUCCAGUGUCAAUGUCGGGUUGGACGCUGUGUCCAACAGCCUCCCACGGUCUGGUAAUCCCAUUUCCCAGCGUUCAGUCCCCCAGUGCAUAACUGGAGGUCCCUUUGGGAGGGGUUGGGGGGUCAUUCCCGUGCAUACUUGCCAUGGCACUGCAGUGUCCUUCCCCCUGGGGUCCUGGCCACCUCCCUAGUCCACGGUUCCAGGUCAGAAAACUGGCUCAGGGGCAGAACCUGGGCAAGGGAUCAUGACUUUGUUGGGGUGGCUGCCCUCAGCCACCUGCUGUGUGUUCUUGCUCUUUAGAGGGUCCAUUUUAGGCUGCACCUUGGUGGGUUGCCCAUCCAUUGUGCCCCCAGGGAGGCCGUGUGGUAUUGACCCCCUCUGCCGCUGGAGGGGUCAGGCCUCCUUGCCAGUGGUGUCCAUCAGUGUCAGCCCCCGCAUGCUGGCCGUUCAGUGCCACCCUGGGACCUCUACUGCCGUUCAUGGGUCAGGCGGUUGUGCAGUUCCUUUCCUCCCUUAGCAGGCUUGGCACAUCCUGCCUGUGUUGUGUGGUGACUUCACUCUGGUUGGGGCCCUGGCAGGAAGUUGACCAACUCUUCCUGGUUUUCCUGGGACUCUCCUGGUUUUAGAACUGCAAGUCCUACAGUAAACCAGGAUGGCUGGUCACUCUACCUUCUGGGAUGGAAGGCACCCAUGGAGAAAGAUGUGCAGGCUUUUUGCUCCCUCAGCGAUGGGAUGGGUGCAUUAGCUCUUUAUGGGAAGGAAUGGGCCACUGCUCCAGGCUCAGAGGUUUCAGAGGCAUCUGGGGAGUCUAGCUCUUCCAGGGCCCUUGCCCGGAUGUGCCUGUUUCUUGUGUCAGGGGUGUGGGUUUUCCCAAUGGGGCUUCUGAUGUUGGCCUGACGGACCUGCCUUGGUGAACGUUCAGCUGUCUUUGAAGUUCAGCCACUCCUAUCAAAUCCUGGGUUUGCCCUUCGUCCACUGCCUGAGAUGGGGCGACUUUGCAACCUACUGAGGAGACUCUGGGGCUCCCCCUUAGUUUUCACUCUGUUAAUCACCCCGGGAUUCUCAUCACCCUGCCAGUCAUCAAAGCAAGAGGGUCACCUCCAUCCAUUCCCCUUGUCCUUCGAGUUGUCCUUCCUGUACGUGCCACACGCCUGGGUCCCCUCACCUGCCGGCAAAUUCCUCUCCACCCGCCAGCCCAGCAAAAAGUUCUGACAGGAACGUGCUAGCCACUGGGCUGUCUGCACACCACCAACCCCCGGGAUGAGGUCCUCGUUACCACUGGGGCAGGUGAUGAGCAAUCCCGCACCAAGACCCUGUCUUAGCAUCUGCUUUUGGACCACUCGAGAAGCAACUGUCUCAGGUGGAAUCUUUCAGGAAGCUGCCCCCUGAGAGGGAGUGAGGCGUGCCAAAGGCUGACUGGGGAAUAACACCCACGAAGGGAGCAGGGAGAAGCAGGGCUGGACAGGUUGUCCCUUCAGCCUGUGACACCGAGCUGACAGUCUCUCCCUGCCCAUCGGGGAGCUGCAGAGCAGGGAUCGGCCCUCAAGGACCUGUACUCGGCGGGGUAGUUAGGCCCUCACUGUGCCUGAGGCCUUGCAAUCCAGGUGGACUGAACGGGUCAAUCAACACCCAAAAUUGGUGCCCCAGGAAUGGGUGCAUACCAAGUAGCACACAUAGGGCACCAGGUGCCUUUCCUCGGGCAAAACCGCGCUCCACACUGCGGCCGGCCUGGUGGGAGGUGCUUCGGCUUCUUGUGCAUCAGGAGACUGCUGGGUUUGGAAGGGGGUGUGCUUCCAGGGCGUUUCCCAGCUGAGCGUCUGUUAGCAUCACUGUAAGCCCAGGCUGAUGGGAGAGGGCAGACCUGGGUAGGGAACAGCACAGGGCAAAGCAGAGUUGUCAGCAGACACCCGUCCUGUAAGAGGCUCCUUGACGGUGCAGGUCCACAGGCGCACUCAGCUCUGCGUCCCUCAGGGCUGGUGGGGGCAUCUUCCAGGCAGUCCUGUAAACCACCUGAUCUGAAUCGAGGCCCUAUGGGUUCAGGAAAACUUGAAGGGGAAGGAACCACUGACUCGGGGCAAGGAGCUGCGGAAGGCCUCAGAGAGAAGGACCAUUUCAUCUAGGUCUUGAGGGUGAAAAGGGUCUCCUUAGGUGGGAAAUGGGGGAAAGGCCCCCUGAAAGGGCCAGAUACAUUCAGGGAGCUGGGAGAAGAUUCCUGGCUGAGGCAGACUUGUUUGUGGUGUGAGUUCAUUGGAGAUGUGGCUGAGAAACUAUACUGGGUCUAACUCAUAGAGGCUGCCCUAAGAAUUCUGCGCUGUACUCUGGGUGCAACUGGUCUGUGCGCUCACUAACAGUGUUAAAGGCAAGUUUGCUUCUCUCCCUGAGAAGAAUUCAUUGAUUCUCUUGUUUGGUUAGUCAGUCAUUUGACAAACCUUUGGGUGCCUCUGAUGGGCCAGGCAGCGUGUAGACAACAAGGAAAGACAGGUGAAUAAGAUGCAGCCCUGGGUGGCCCAGGAGCAGCCUUCCACAGAUGAGCAGUGAUCCCUGCAGCAUGCUCCUGUCCUUGUUCUGAACAUAUGGGUCUUCUUUGGAGGCUGCCUCAUUCUCCUGGCUUGUGAUGAGCUUUCUAAUUCUUGUUCCUGACUUUAGAAGAAAGCUUGGAGAGAUGACAUUAGGUCUUUAAGUUCUGAGGACCGUGGAGGGGGUGGUGAGGAUGUUGGGGCUAGAUCCUCCUGGCCCCCACCAGAAAGUUGAUUUGCCCAUUGUGGCACCCUGAGUUGCCCAGACUGAGCAGAGUGGCUGCUGCCGACAACCCAUAGAAAGGAGGCGUGGUGUGAGUUCGCCCAGGCCAGCUUACGGAUGGCCUGAGCUCUGACAGCAUCCAGGGCCAGGAGAGCUUUGGCAGUGCAGGCCCCUCCCUCACUGCCACUGGACAUGCUGCCUUUGAAGGAGGAGGGUGAGUGGUGAAGACAAGACGAUGAAGGCAGGUGACCUUGGCAUAUUUUGUCACCCAACUUGAAUGUUCCCAAAUGAUACUUGGAGGAAGUUUUAGGAAAGGGGCCUGCUUUUUGUAUGAGAUGACACUAGCUAGGAUUUGACAGUAGUAAUGUGCUACUUGCUCAUUGUGCCAUCUAUUGCCUGACUCAUCCAACUUCAUUUUUAAUUGAAGGUGAUCGGUGGUCAGAGACUUGAUCAGCGAGUAGCUUCCAUGGCAGAAAGCUCCAUGCAAUGCUUGGGGGUUGUGAGUAUGAAAACAAAGUAUACUAAGACUAAUGUGUUGGUACACUGUAAAGUAUUCUCCUUUCCUUCCUCUGAGUAUUCCUGCCUUCUUGAUCUUUCUGACUUUCCCAAGACAAAGAGAUGUCAAAUAUAUAAUGAUGAAUAUUAAAACAAACAGACUCCUAAUGCUCAUUACUGUGAAGAUAUAGCAGUCUAGUUUGCGUUUUCCUUGUGAAGAGCCUAUACUGGGAGCCUAAAGGUUGGGAUGUGAGCCCAUUGUUUGCCUUCCAAGGGCCCAUGAGGACAGUAGCACUCCCUUUUUUGAUUUAUCUGUGUCCAUGUGGUUCAUAGGCUGGGCCAGUGCAUAUGGCCCACAGAGGGGCUGAAGGGUGUGUGGCCAGGAGGUGGUGGAAUGACGAUGUCCAGAGUUUGGGCUUUAGGGUCCGGGGACCUGGGUUUGGACAUCAACUCUUCUCUUCCUGUGACCUUGGAACUUAGUGUCUCUGUCCUCUCUUGUAAACCAGGUGGCACAAAUGCUGCUUCCCUCACAGGGCUGUUUCCAGAGCAGAGCCUUGUAUAUCAUGUCCUCUCCUGGUGAGGCUCGAGUUCUCAAUUUUUGCUUCUACUCUGCAGGUUGGAGGUUAUUCCAGAAACACUGACUAUGAAGAUUUUUCUUGGUUCCCAGGCUUUGUAAAUUUCAGAGUUUUCUAACAGUGGUCAAGGGACUAUGAUGUGAACUUGGCAAAAGUCCCUUAUGCUCUUUGGAAGAUCUCAGUUGUGCCAUGUAGAAAAUGAGAUGAUUGGUCUAGAAUAAUGGUUCUCACACUUUUGUUGCCGUGGAAUAUCUUGGUCUGGCCAGAGGUUCCACCCCGCAAACAGAUCAGAGGCAGGCUGCUCAGCUAAAGCAAGGCCCAAUCCACCCACUCCUUCUUCCCAAUCUCUCCUUGGGCCAUUCUCCAUAGAGGCCCAUAAAGCACGCCACAGAACACAGUUUGAAAACUGGUGUUCUAGAUCUGUGGUUCUCAAACUUUAAUGAGCAUUCAGAUCCCUCAGUGAUCUUGUCAGAUGUAGCUUCUGAUUCAGAAGUUCUGGGUGCACUGGAGAUUCUGCAUUUCUGACCAGAUCCCAGGUGAUGCCUAGGUGGCUGGUCCAUGCAUAGCAUUUUGAAAAGAAAAGUCUCAUCACAGAAUGCCUUGUACAUCUCAAAUCCUUUGAUUUUGAGUACUUAGUGAUACUCUGAUUAUAUCAUAAAUUGAAAAUUUGUAUAAGAUGAAUUUUUCUAUUGGGGGCAAAAUCCUCGAUUAUGCAGAUGUAGAAACUGACCUUCUGUGAUAUGAAGGAGACAGCAAAUAUUUGUUUCUCUCCCAACUUUGAAUGUAUGAAGCAUCUGUAAAAUAUUUUGUAAGGAGCGCAAUUUGAGUUAAGAGGUUGUUGAAUUAUCCAUGCGAUCAGGGAGAGUUGCACUUUUUUUGGUUGUAGUAUGGAUCCUAAGGACGUCUAAUUAUGGGAGUUAAUGGACACUUUUCCAAGGGAGCUUAUGGCAGAAACAAGUGUGACCUGCUCUCAGACUCUGGCCAAGGCCUAUCUCCGUGCUCUAAAUCUAAGUGAAAGUUUAGAAUUGUGGACAGCUGUUAGUGUGUCUGGUAUCAAUGUACUUUCUUGAUAAUCUUAAUGACAUGGCACUAGAAAGACGCCUUCAUGUAAAUGGCUUCUGUCCUUUCUAUCCAAUGCUGAGUUGAGUGUCCCCAGUUCAACGUUGGUAGAGUGCUCUGUCUUCCGCAUUCUUCACUGGCCUCUUCCUGUGUGUAUCCAGAAGAGCAGCUGCUGCUUUGACAGAUUAUAGGGCUUUGCUCAUCAGUCUUUGUUUCGUUUCACUAAUGUCAUUCCUGAAAUGGGAAGCCCACUUUAGGAACGAGAUAAAGAACCCAGUUGCUAGAGUGGCCAAUGUGUUUAAAUGUCAUUUGUCCUAUGUGGAAUGUCACAGAAGAGCAGAGUGCUCUUUGGGCUUUGCCCCAGCCCUUUGUUAAGAAGGAUGGAAACUUUCCCAUGGGGAUAGAGGUAGUGUGUGCACCAUCUGAGAAAGUAAAGGAAGACUGAAUGCCAGGUAGGCUGGAUCCCCGACUUCUGGUACAAAAUCAGCAGGGAAAAGUAGAGGGACCAUAGAUAGAAUCCUUAAGGAAAAGAAGUUUCUGGAAGAAUAUCCUGUUCAGAUGUUUCCUGAGCUCUCUCAAAGCUGAGGCCUUUGCUCACAUGACACAAGCAGAUUUCUAACCCCUCUCUGGGCCCCUUUGAUCGUGGUCUCCCCUGUAGCAUAACCGUGAUUCCUAAAACACAACCUUGCCCAGGGGUUGUCCUGGCUCCCAAUGCUUGGCAUUCAAGUGCCUGAACCUCUUUGGCCUCAGUUUGCCCAUCUGUCAAAUGAGGAUAAUAAAAACAGUCCUCAACCCAUGGGGUUACUCUGAGCAGUGAAUGGGCUUGGGCUCAGCCAAGACCCUGUAAACUUAAUGAGGCUAUGAUCAUAACAUGAUCUUGCUCAAGGUGGCCCUCCCCUGCCUUCUCGAUCAUAGCUGCCGCCUCCACUCCCACAGCCUGGGCUCUUCUCCGGUUUCCAGCACUUGGUGCCACUGCCCUCCAUAUUGCUGCCUCAUGGUGAAUGCCCUCACUCCUCACUUCCUAUGUCUUCAUGAACCCUCGGAGGCCAGCUUCAAGGACUGCUCCUUCCUGACAACCUUCCAGAACCCUAUCUGUAGUACUCUUUUCGUGUAAAGUUACCUUGAGUGGUUUCCAUUUCAUGUGCAUAUGUGUGUGCCCUGUUACCCGAGCUAGACUGGAAUCUCUCUGAGGACAAGGACCCUGCCCAGUUCACUUUUGUAUGGUCCCCAGAGGAGACACUCAGUAUAUGUUGACUGAUGAUGAUGAUAAACUGUUCAGUUGGAGUGAUCCAGCAUGGUAGAGCUACUCUCUACUAUGGUAAGCUACUAUACCAUACUGGAGCUGGCAGAUCAGUGAGAUAGGCCCUGCCUUGGAGUCAGUGCAUGUUAGUUGGGUAGGAAAGGCAAGUAUGUCAGACACUCUUUUGAGGCAGGACCAGAUAACUGUCCACAGAAAGACUAUCUGUGAAGUGUUACUAGGCCUCAGGAGAGGGCAGGAUGUAUCUCCUUGGGAGAUCUGGAAGGCUCCAGAGGGAGGCUGGCUCUGAGCUGUGUGCUGAAAUCUGGGCAGGGUUUUGAUGGUGGUGAUACAGGAGUCCCCUCCUGACAAGUCAGCUUUAGGCUGGGAGGACAGGAGAUCAGAGGCCAUAAGGAACAAUAGCUCAGGCAAAGGAAGUGGGGCAAAGGUGCUUCUCACAUCUUAUCUCCUUUGGUCCUUGAAUCAACCUGGUGAGAUAGGUGCUGUUAGAUCCACAAGACAGAUGAGGAAACUGAGCAUAGAGGCCGAGGGACUUGGCUAAGCUCUCUCAGAUGGCUGAGAGGGAGUUGGGAUUCAGGAUCAGCCAACCCAGAAUCCUGCCAAACAAGUUGAGAACACAGGACAUGCACUCUGAGCCUGAUGCCAAGGCUAAGAGCCUGCUGCCCUGAUUUACGCUCCUGAAGUGUGGGGCUGGCCCUGGGCCCUGCGUGUGUUCUUGGCCAAGUCCCUUUGUUAGGCAUCUCGAUUCCCAUCUGCAAAGCAAGGGGCUCAGCUUCAAGGACUGCUUCAGCUCUUUCCAGCUCCAGUGCUGUGUGAUUCUGGGACUUUGAACUGUGUUGCUUGUCCAUGAGCUAGUCCACAUCUUCCUUCAGAUUGCAGGAGGGACUGUCGCACUUGGGUCAAAAGAGUAUGCAUUUAACAGAAUAUGCUUUAUCAUGGCAAACAAAGAGUCAAGUUGGUUUAUUCAGCUGUGGCUGGUGCUCAAGUGCGAGGAGAGGCUGAAUCAGAGGGGAGCUUAAUGGCCUGCUGUGCUGCACAGCUGUCCAAAGGCACCAUCCUUACGUUUUCAUCCUUAAUACUGCAGCCGAUAACUGCCAAAUCCAGCAUAUACGUUUAUCCCCAUGCUUGAGAGUCCUGCUGAUGGAUUCUCCAGAGUGACCUGGGGUACCAGAGUUGCCAUCAAGUCUGUCACUUGCUUCUGAGGAUCUGUGUAGUCCAAGGCCAUGUGACUUUAAAAACCGCAUACCUCUUUACAUUGCUGCCAAUCUCUUCCAUAUAUAUCUUUUUACUAGGAUAGAGUAGGGCUUGGACAGGGGUCAGUGGGGAGAUGAGGGGUACAACUGUUACCUAGAGUCACAGCAGAUCUACCCUUGCUUUCCUCCCUCUUUCGGACAUUUUGAUGGUUGCUCAUGUCCCCUUCUCCCUCCUUCCUUCUCCCUUCCUAGCAAAACUACUUACUGGAGUACAUCUUAUUUGUAAAAUGACCAUUAUUCAUAUCAAAUAAAAACCAAAGAAGUACUGUCAGUUUCCCCUUAGAAUAUCAACAAGACCACUGCUUUACACUGCUUGUACAUUAGAGAGAGAAGAGUCAGUGAGUUGGCAUGUUCUAAGCGUUCCAACUAUAUGCAGAGAGGUAGUUUGGCACAGCUCCUGUGCUGUUGUCUCCACUGUAGCAAAGCAAAGCUAACAUUCCUACAAGGCUUUUCAGUUCCUACAAAGCUUUGCAGUUCACAGCAUGCUUUCCCAUGGGUCUUUGUGUUCUGGUUCUGGAAGAAUGCCUCUCCAGUUCCUUUUCCUCAUCCUAGUAUCACAUUGCAUUCUCCAUGGGCUCCUCGGACUGCAUUAUCAUUCUCUUCACUUUAGAGAUGAGGCAGCUGAGCUCAGAGAGGGGAAGUGAUUUAUCUUAGGUUGUGCAGUAAGUGACAGAGGCAGGACUCAACCAGUUCUUCUGAUUCUGACUAUGGUGAUCUGCUCCCUGUACCCACAGAGGGCAGAGAGUGGCAUGUGGUACCUAGAAGGCCUGUUAAAGCUUGGGAAAUAUUCGAUGCUGGGCUGUAGUUUGAGAAUUCAAUCUUAACCAAUUCAGAACGUUGUCUUUCUUAACUCUCUCCUUGGUUCCUGGAUUUCUCAAUUCAAUUCUGUGCCUGCCCAGCACAGUUCCUCUCUGCCUGUGGUUCAAGAAGCCUGACUCCUCUGAACUACUUCCUCCUGUUGUCCACUCAUUGUCUACCAAACCUCACACUAGAUUUCUCACCUCAGCCAUGGAAGAAAGACAGCUUUGUAGUUGGAGUCCUUGUGUUGUGUCCCAGCUCAGGCUAUCUUUCCAUUCCUAGGUCGUUUGCUGGUCACUCAUUCAAGGGUGCUUUUGCACUCUGGUUAUCUGGAAUUCACCCUGAUUUUCUUAUCCUUGCUUCUGGUUGUGUACUCUCCUCCCUUCUGCCUUAUUAUCUGGGUCCCAAGCCUUUUCUUAGUGUUUGGUUUCUCUUCUGUAACUUUCUGGACCAGACACUGAUGCACAGUGAAGCUAGUGAAGUUUGAGAUUAAACUUCAGGGUCACGGGCUUGCACAGGGCUGGAAGGAGCCCUAGCAUUAUGGUUUAUGAUAGUUGUAUGGUUUAUAAAAUCUACAAAAGAUAUUUUAGCCACAGUUGGUUCAGGGCGCCUCUCUUUCCCUUCUGCUGUCUCUCUCACUUGAUCUCGUGUUGGGUCGCAAUGCAAUGGCCGGAGGUAUAUUGGAAAUCUAGCUAACAAGACAUUAAAUUGGGAUAUAUUUAGUUUGGACUUGGGGAGACAUUUAAGGGGCUCACAACCAAUUCUGUACCUGUUCAAGUUAUUGCUAGCUGCUCUGUAUUGAAACUGCUUCCAGGAAUACUGCUUACUGUGCUGAUGCACGCAGUGUCAGUACAGGAGGGGUGGGGCUGGAGAGUACAUUGUGAUGUCACUGUGCUUGACAACACUAGGUGCCGGAAGUAUGUUGGCAGUGGAGGAGAAUCAAGGCUCACAAUGUAUGGAGCCAGAAGCUAGUCUGUGGAAAAGUCUUCCAGCCACGAAUCAGAUAUGUGAAAUCAACAAGUGCAAGUUCUUUCCUGUCAGGAAUAUACUCAGUGUACAGCGUAUGCAGUCAUAAACACAACAUACAUUUAUAUUAACAUUUUCACGGGAGUUCUGUCAAAAGGAAUUUUUCAGAACUCCUGUGAUUGUAAGGCACAGACAUGUAGCAGAAGUACAAACGUUGAGUAGCGUGCAGAAGAGAGUUAAUAUGGCAGGCCUGUGACUACCGUCCUUAGAAAGGCCUGCUUGUAAGGGUGGCCCUGUGCUGGCAUCUGGGAACUUGGUUCUCAGAGUGUCCCUAGUUAACAGGAAACUGAUGAGAGUGGCUUACUGUGCUUAGAUUGUUUAUACAAACAAUGUGGUUUAUGCUGAACACCUGCUUUCCUCCUGGGAGUCUGGAAUUUUGGUGCAAGCUAGGUAGAAGGUACCUACGUGACCAGCCCCGAAUAAAAAUCAUGGGUGCUGAGUCUGGGUCUCCCUGGGCAGCAACAUCACACAUGUGUCCCUGCAUUUUCAUUGCUGAGGGAAGAUUGUGUUCUGUGUGGCCCCUCAUGGGAGAAAAAGGGCAUAAGGAAGUCUACACAUGGAUUCCUCCUGGCUCUGCCUGUGUCUUUUCCCCUUGUGAUCCGUCUGUGUGUCCCCACUGUAAUUGCUGUAAUAAAUCUUAGCUGUGAGUACAACUAUAUGCUGAGUCCUGAGUCUUCAACUAUAACAGACAAGAAAAGUGGGAAUGAUAUAGAGGUGUAUCAGGCAGUUGAUUAAUAAAAAUAUAGUUGUAUUUAUUAUAUCAUUUUUCCUGAAUUUUGAGAUGUCUAACAUUUGUUGACCUUUUCAAAUGUGUACUCUAUUGUAUUUCUUUUCUCAUUUUAUACAUGUACUUUUGUUCCUAAUUUUGUAUUGGUAAUUUUGUAUUCUUAUCCUUAAAGAGAGCUCCAAGUAUUAUAAGCUUCAGGUCCCACGAAACCUGGAUCUCCCUUUGUCAUGGAUCCAAGACUUGCUACCUCUUGUUGAUUUUGUUAUUGUUACCCCGUAUUUCACAGGUAGGGAAAUUAAAACCUAAGAGUGGAAGUCAGGCUCACUUGGCAAAACUGGGACAGGAUCCAGGUCUUCCAACUCCCAACUUAAUGCUCUUCCCUCCAUUUCAUAAAGUAUCUUGAUAAUUUGUACGUGAGCAGUGGUCAUGGCGCAUUGGAUAUAUACUGGAUGGCACUUAGGAGACUGAAGUUCUAGUCCCUUCUUUUUCAGUAAAUGGCUAAUCUUGAAUGAGUCCUUUCCAUUCUAGGACACAUGUCCCCCUUUUGUAAAACAAGGGAGCUGGACUAGAUGCUCUUUAGAGGCCUUUCUCUCUCUGAUGUUUCUUGAGUUUAUCAUUAUAGAAAUGCUGAAUCACAUAAUCAUGGUUGAAACCAUUCAUCAUAUAGUCCUUGGGUCUUCUCCAUCUCUAAAAACAAAAAUAAAAUACCUACCUCUCUCAGUUGUUGUGAAGCCCCUGGCCCUGUUCGUGAUAGAGCAAGUAAUCAAAAGUUGCCUCCACCCACCUUUCCAAUCAGGGACAAAGGUUUUCAUGUAUAAUUCUUGCUCCUCCCCUUUGGAAUCAGAGAAUCUUUGAUCAGCAAACCUAAAUUCUAAAAAGGAAAGAAAAUGAAAUGUACAUACUCUGCUUUUAAAACUUUUUAAAUGAAGUGUAAUUUGCAAACAGAAAAAAUGCACAAAUAUUAAAUGAACAGAUUAAUAAAUCUUCACAAACCAGUAACCAGCAUAUAUUAAAAAAUAGAACAUUGCUAGAACUCCCUUGUGAUCUCCUCCAAGUCACUACUUCUGCCCAAAGGUAACCACUGUUGUGACUUGUAACAUCUUUGAUUACUUUAGUAAAUGGAAUCCUACAUUAUGUACUCUUAUUGUCUGGAUUCUUAUAUGUAAUGUUGUUCGUGAGAUUCACCCAUGUUGUCAUGUGAGCAGUAUUUCCUUUAUUCUCGUUGCCAUACUGUAUUCCAUUGUAUGACUAUACUAUGAUUGAUUUAUCCUUUCCACUGUUUGUGGACAUUCGUAUGGUUUCCAGGUUUUUGCUAUUACAAAUAAAGCUGCUGUGAAUAUCUUUGUAUUUACUUUCUUUGGUAAAUAUAUAUUUCUGUUGCAUGUAUAUCUAGAGGUAGAAUUCAUUAUUUAUAGGACAUGCGUAUGUUUAAUUUUAGGAGAUAUUGCCAAAUAGCUUUCCAUAGUAGCAAUUUACACUACCACCAGCAGUGUAUGAGUUCCCUUUACUCUCUAUCUUUGAUAGCACACUCUGUCACUUAGGUGGAUGUGCAGGGGGAUCUUGUUUUGAUUUGCUUGUUUAUUUACACAGAGCAAACUUCUGCAGUGUACAAUUUUAUGACUUUGGACUGAAGCACAAAGCCAUGUAUCCAUCACCACAAUCAAGAUACAGACGAGUUCUAUCACACCGCAAAUUGCCUGAAAGAAACAUUUCAACAGAGAACCAAGUCAAAAUUGAGACGUUAUCUUCUCAAAGUGCUGAACUCCCAUCCCUACCGCAGAAGGAACUCCUCUGUUCACAGAAGCUGAAGCCAGUCCGAAGUCCAGCUCCUUCCCAAGGGUAAUCCUGUUUGGAUGUUGGAUGCACACCUGCCCAAGCAUUGUGCUCUCCAAAUGAAACCAGACAGAAUAUAUGAAAUAAUGGCUUUCAGACAUUGGACAACAGGCCGUACAAAAGUGCCAAAUGGUGAUUCCUAACAGAGGGAAAACAAGUAAGGCAUGCUUUGAGGAAAGGCCAAGUGAGCACACAGCGAGAAGAUGGCGGCUACAAGCCAGGAAGCGGGCCCUCGCCAGGAACCAGAUCUGCUAAUACCUUGAUUUUGGACUUCCAGCCUCUAGAACUGUGAGAAAUAAAUGUCUAUCAUUUAAGCCACCAUGACAGCCGAGCGGACUAAGACACCUGGCCAGUGGUUGCUGUGAGAUGGCCGACUAAGUCAGAAAAGGAGGCAUUGCAAUCACUGUGUAGUCAUUCAGGGUCCCCAGGAGUGGAAAGUGACCUGGCCUGGGACUGGCCCCUUCUGGGGAUGCUCAACCUCGAAUCUUCCGCCAGGCCUGGACUGGUUGACAAAUCUGUUGUCUUGGGUUCUCGAAGCGGCUCUUCUCCUCUCUGGGCCUUGGCUUCCUCCUCUUCAAAUGGGAUGAUAACCCUUCUCCGGGGUAGCUGUGCAGGUCAGAGUUGAGCCAUACAUGCUGGGAGUGCCCAUCUCUUGGCAGGAAGCCUACACGUCCUUCAGUCCUUCAGUCCAGCCUUCUGCCUGCUGCUUCAGACCCAAAACAUCCUGUUUGUCCAGCAGUCAGCUAGGAGCCGGAGCCACGGUGGUGAACACGCCAUCAGGACGCGGCAAGAAGCAGGAAGCCCAUCACUUGAUGAGGGUGCUUUCCUGCCAGGGAGACCUCAGGUGAAGGAGCUCCUGCUCCUGAAAGGGAAGCCCCCUCAAACUGCCUCCAAGCCUCACUUGACAUCUUCCACAGCUACCCCCUGGCCACCGGGAAGUGAGCCGCAGGUCUGAACAGCGCAGUUCUGGAGACUGGAAAUCCAAGAUCACGGCGCCAGCAGAUUCACUGUCAGGGCCUGAGUGGGGGCGGCAUGGUGGCUUUGCACCUCAACAUGUCCUCCUUACAGACUUCCCGUCACCCUGUAACCUGCAGAUUCAGAGCCUCACCUGCCUGCGGAUACAGGAUCCCAAGAACAUUAACAAGCCAGAGGACUUAGACAAAUACUUAUCAACGCAGCCCAUCUCUUGUGCCCUUUGCAUCUCGUUCCACAUUGCCAUUGGCUGUGAAGGUCAUCCCUUUUAAGUGGCACCUCACUUCAGAUGGGAGAAACAUCUGUUCCAGAAUAGAACAUCGGUGGGUGCCUGGCCAGCAGCACUCACUUACACAGAAGGGCAUCAGGCGCUCCACCUACUCUGCCUAGUCCCCCACGGCGACGGCGACAGCUGAGAGAGGAAGGAAGCCCCCGCGGCCGCCCCACCCCUGGGCUACUCUGCUCUGCACGGCCUGGGCCCGUCCUGCCGUGGUGCCUAAUUAGACCUCAGGUUUAGCUCAAUUAACAUCUUGAGCCUUUAGUUUAUGGCUAAAUCUACAUACAUUGUAAUCUAAAAGCAAACAUUUGCCUUUGCUAGCUCUAAUUUAUGCAUAGAAUCAGUUUACUGUUCCUGUCUUAAUUAUUAUUUUUUUAAUAGCUUUGCAACAGAAAAUCAAGCCUGCUGAGUUUUAUAUUAUACUCUGCAACUUAUUUUCUUGUGUUUUUUAACGUAAAACAUCUAAUUAAUCCAUGUAAUCUGAAUACUUUAUGUUUAAACCUUUCAUACUCAUAAAACAAACAAUGAAAAUGUAGCUAAUUUGUAUAGAAGCUUUUUUUGUCUUGUCAGAUACAUCAGCAAAGACAUGGUGAGAGCGUGAAGACUUUGAAACAAGAAAAUGAAUGAAAUUCCAUCACAAGUAUGUUAAAGGAGCUUUACCGCCUUAGGAAAAAGGGAUGGAGUUGAACUUGCCCUCUGGUCCCUGACGCCUCACACAUGUUCUGGAGGCCAGAGUCUGAAAUCAAGGUGUCAGCAGGGCCGUGCUCCCUCUGAA
This is a non-coding RNA of Equus caballus (horse), 15649 nucleotides long. The record is from RefSeq and is a predicted model, not a curated record. NCBI's taxonomy places the organism in Eukaryota, Metazoa, Chordata, Mammalia, Perissodactyla, Equidae.